Molecule: long non-coding RNA, 409 nt
Organism: Pieris brassicae (large cabbage white)
Lineage: Eukaryota; Metazoa; Arthropoda; Insecta; Lepidoptera; Pieridae
Exons: 3
Source: RefSeq, a predicted model, not a curated record
CCCACCUUUUACAUUAAAUAUCGUUGAAAGGUUUCAAAUCUUAUAUAACAAAUAGUGAAGCGCCUAACCAAUAUAUUUGUUCCCUAAUAGAGUUUUAAUCCCCGGGGAUAAACUUGAUCAUAGAGAAUAUGCGGUGAAAAUCCAAUAAUCCUUUAAUUGAGUGGACAGCCGCCAUAUUGUAUUUUGAUGCUAUAAAUUGGCGGGAAGACGUCCCUUUGACAUCAGUCGUAUUUCAGUGUUACAAUCAACAAUAUACCACAGUUAAGAUGUCAGCAAUGAAGUAUGCAUGUGUCGCUGUCAUUUUGGCAGUUAUCUGCUUAGUUCAAGUUAGCGAAGCAAAUUACAAGAACGCUCCAAUGAAUGGAAUUAUGUUUGGCAAGAGAGGUCCUUCUGAUUAUGAGAACAGAGC